AAAAAUUUAGUUAAAAUCAUAACAUUAGUUUGUCAAACUAAAAUAAUUAAUUAUAUUAAUAAUUUUUG
This 68-nucleotide transfer RNA is filed under the name Melanotus cribricollis. RNAcentral's name for it is "tRNA-Asp". The record is from RNAcentral. Lineage: Eukaryota; Metazoa; Arthropoda; Insecta; Coleoptera; Elateridae.